AUGCCUAGGCUCUUCUUCUACCCAGUAGCCCUUCUUCUUCCCUUGCUCUCCACUCUGCUCUGCUCCUGUGCGUCCCCAUGGCAGAGAAGCACAGGCACAUCUCUGCAAGUAGAUCGUGAGAAAGUCUUGCUCGUCUCACCAGACACCACCUUCUCCUGCGGCUUCUACCCGUCCGGGAACGGCACCAACGCCUUCUACUUCUCCAUCUGGUUCACGCAUGCCACCGACAAGACCGUCGUCUGGACAGCGAAUCCUCGCUUCCCAGUGAACGCCCAGGGCUCCAGGAUAUCCCUGAACCGUGAGGGCAACCUGGUCCUCACCGACUUCAAUGAUUCCACAGCAUGGGAGAGCAAGACAGGCUGGGGCAAGCACACAACAGUGGCUCUCCUCGACACCGGGAACCUCGUGAUCAACGACUCGGCCGGUAAGACCGUAUGGCAGAGCUUCGAUUUGCCCACCAACACCUUGCUCCCGACGCAGCAUCUGACGAGAGCAAACAAGUUGGUCUCCCAGUCAGAUAGUUACCAUGUCCUCUAUUUCGACAAUGACAACGUCCUACGCCUCCUGUACAAUGGACCGGACAUCACAAGCAUAUACUGGCCAAGCCCUGAUUACAAUGCACUCCAGAACGGCCGGACUAGGUUCAACAGCAGCAAGCUCGCAGUCCUGGACCGCGAGGGCAAGUUCUUGUCAAGUGAUGGGUUCAAGAUGAUAGCCUCGGAUUCAGGUUUGGGGAUCCAGAGAAGGAUCACCAUCGACUAUGAUGGGAACUUCAGAAUGUACAGUUUGAAUGCAUCAAGUGGAAACUGGAGUAUCACAGGGCAGGGUGUGCAGCAGAUGUGUUAUGUGCAUGGAUUGUGUGGAAAGAAUGGAAUUUGUGAGUACUCACCAGCAGGCCGCCCCAGAUGCACUUGUCCUCCAGGAUAUAAGAUGGUUGAUCCCGAGAACUGGGACAGAGGCUGCAAGCCAACAUUCAGCAUCCAAUGCGGGCAACCACAGGAGGAUUUUCAAUUCGUCAAGGUUCCUCAUGGUGACUUUUAUGGCUUCGAUCUCACUUCCAACAAGUCAAUCUCCCUCGAAGAAUGCAGGCGGAUUUGCUUGGAGAGCUGCAUGUGCAUAUCUUUCACAUACAAAGCUGGAGAGGGUUUAUGUUACACUAAAAAUGUGCUCUACAACGGCCAGGUCUAUCCAUAUUUCCUGGGAGACAACUACUUCAAACUUCCUAAGAGUGUCAGUUCAACAUCUCCAGCCGCCAAUCAUCCUGGUAUUACCUGCAGUCCGGAGAGAUCCAAGGUUAUGGUAGUGUCUGCAGAUGCAUACAUAAAAAACUCUGACCACAUAAGCUGGGCAUACCUCUACAUCUUUGCUGCUAUAUUAGGGGCAGUUGAAUUGUUUUUUAUCAUGACAGGAUGGUACGUCCUUUUCAAAAUGCACAACAUACCCAAGUCCAUGGAGGAAGGUUACAAGAUGAUAACAAGCCAGUUCAGGAGGUUUACGUACCGUGAGUUGGUUGAAGCAACAGGGAAGUUCAAAGAAGAGCUAGGGAAGGGUGGCAAUGGAGUAGUUUACAGAGGAAUACUCGGAGACAAGAAGGUUGUGGCAGUAAAGAAGCUUACAGAUGUUAGAAAAGGUGAAGAGGAAUUUUGGGCAGAAGUAACUCUCAUUGGGAGGAUCAACCACAUGAAUUUGGUACGAAUGUAUGGGUUUUGCUCAGAAGGCCAACACAGGUUAUUAGUCUACGAGUUUGUGGAGAAUGAGUCAUUGGACAGAUACCUUUUUGAUGGCAGAGGCACUGAAAGACUGCUCUCAUGGGGUCAGCGGUUCAAGAUUGCCUUGGGGACAGCAAGAGGCCUUGCUUACCUGCAUCAUGAAUGUCUCGAAUGGAUUGUCCAUUGUGAUGUAAAGCCAGAAAACAUACUGCUGACACGAGAAUUCGAAGCCAAGAUAGCAGACUUUGGACUAUCCAAGCUCUCUCAGAGAGAUAGUUCUAGCUUAAAUUUCACUCAAAUGAGAGGCACAACGGGCUAUAUGGCACCAGAAUGGGUGAUGAAUUUGCCAAUUGAUGCAAAGGUAGAUGUUUACAGCUUCGGAGUUGUGCUUCUAGAGAUUGUCACUGGGAGUAGGGUUUCCAGUGGGGUGACAGCAUACGAAGAUGAGAUGGGCUUGAUGCAAAUUCCCAGUGGGGCAACAGAAGGCGGAGAAGAGAUGGGGUUCAUGCAAUUUGUUCAGGCGGUGAAACAGAUGCUCGCCAAUGGGGCUGACCUGGAUAUAGUGGAUGCUAGACUGAAAGGGCAUUUCAAUCACAAGCAAGCAACAGUUAUGGUGAAGAUAGCUAUUUCAUGCCUUGAUGAAAGAAGCAAGAGGCCAACAAUGGAACAAAUUGCCAGAAAUCUCAUGGAAUGUGACGAUGAAGAUUAUCAUCCUGCAUACUUUUGA
Molecule: ribosomal RNA, 2436 nt
Filed under: Triticum aestivum (bread wheat)
Lineage: Eukaryota; Viridiplantae; Streptophyta; Magnoliopsida; Poales; Poaceae
Description: partial small subunit ribosomal RNA
Source: RNAcentral